UGGGGAAUUUUGGACAAUGGGCGAAAGCCUGAUCCAGCAAUGCCGCGUGUGUGAAGAAGGCCUUCGGGUUGUAAAGCACUUUUGUCCGGAAAGAAAUCCUUGGCUCUAAUACAGUCGGGGGAUGACGGUACCGGAAGAAUAAGCACCGGCUAACUACGUGCCAGCAGCCGCGGCAAUACGUAGGGUGCAAGCGUUAAUCGGAAUUACUGGGCGUAAAGCGUGCGCAGGCGGUUUGCUAAGACCGAUGUGAAAUCCCCGGGCUCAACCUGGGAACUGCAUUGGUGACUGGCAGGCUAGAGUAUGGCAGAGGGGGGUAGAAUUCCACGUGUAGCAGUGAAAUGCGUAGAGAUGUGGAGGAAUACCGAUGGCGAAGGCAGCCCCCUGGGCCAAUACUGACGCUCAUGCACGAAAGCGUGGGGAGCAAACAGGAUUAGAUACCCUGGUAGUCCACGCCCUAAACGAUGUCAACUAGUUGUUGGGGAUUCAUUUCCUUAGUAACGUAGCUAACGCGUGAAGUUGACCGCCUGGGGAGUACGGUCGCAAGAUUAAAACUCAAAGGAAUUGACGGGGUCAUAGCUGUUUCCU
This 585-nucleotide ribosomal RNA is filed under the name uncultured bacterium. RNAcentral describes it as "partial 16S ribosomal RNA". It matches the Rfam family "Bacterial small subunit ribosomal RNA", at positions 355 to 1375 of the family's 1533-position model. The record is from RNAcentral.